Molecule: RNA transcript, 3605 nt
Organism: Zingiber officinale
Lineage: Eukaryota; Viridiplantae; Streptophyta; Magnoliopsida; Zingiberales; Zingiberaceae
Exons: 8
Source: RefSeq, a predicted model, not a curated record
UUAUAUCGCACCGUCAACCGUAUAUUGUCGCGACACCACCACCACUUUCCUCCUCACCGCUGGUCGUCCGACCAUCUCUCUCAGCCUCAUCUGCCUCUUCCCCUUCCUAGAUCGACAUCCCUUCCUCUCUCGAUUAGGAUCAACACAUGAUGUCCUUGCUUCCUCUCUCCGUCUCCGUGUUUGUCUACCCCUUCAAUUUUGUCGUUUCCCCUCCAGAUCCCCGUCAGUAGUGAUCUAGUCUCGAGAUCCAGUUCUUAAAUUUCUGAUAUGCUGACCAAAUUCGAGAUGAAGAGCAACCGGGUGAAGGGUGUGAGCUUCCACAGCAAACGUCCUUGGGUCCUUGCAAGCUUUCACAGUGGCGUUAUCUAGCUAUGAGAUUACCGCAUGGGCACUCUCAUCGACCGCUUCGACGAGCACCGGUACUAUGUAGUCUUGAAGACCAAAUUUAACGGGCCAGACGGUCAGUAAUAAUGGGCAUUAAAAGUGAUGCGCUGUGCUUUUGUCCUCCUCCGACCCGCGGCCAUCCCUCUUCCUCCUCCGUCGCCCUCAAACACUCACAGCACUUCUGCUCACACCGCUCGCUUUCUACGAUGCGGCGCAAGCUCUUUCUUUCAUCCGUCCUUCGCCACUUCCAAACCCUAGUCGCUCCUCCUACCAACGUCUAUGGCAGCCGCCCAUACUCCACAACCUUAUUUAUCAGUUGAUUCGGUUCCCACGACCGUGAUUUAUGGUCUAAGUUCUACUCCUCGGUAGCUUCCCAAUCUCGCUUCUUCCAAGAUGAGAAGCAGGGUUACUUCCCUUCGAGAUACUCCGAGGACGCGAAGAAAGGAAGAUUGGUCCCCGUUAAUGCCUAUUCUCUAUCUACCAUGUCUAUUUCUCGAUUCAUGUUGAUUUGAAAAGCUUGAGGGCGCAGAAUGCGUUCAAUCUCAUUUCUCUGGCUUCUCGUGUCAGUGACUGUGUCAUUCUUAGACAAUAACUUCAAGUUCGAGAGUGAUCCUCAGGAGAUGACUAUAAGAUUAAGGUCUGGAAUUAUAAGACACCGGUGCUUCUCCUUGGUCAUCUUGAUUACAGUCGCACUGUGCAGUUCCAUGAUGAACAUCCAUGGAUUGUUAGCGCAAGUGACGACCAAACUAUUAGGAUAUGGAAUUGGCAAUCUCAGACCUGCAUUUCUGUAUUGACAGGGCACAACCACUAUGUGAUGUGUGCCUCAUUUUAUCCAUCAUCGCUACUAAAGUCCUUCCUUAUCUUCGACAGUUUCAUCUUCUUGAUCUCUUGAUUGCAAGUAUUAAUUGAUUGAUGCAUGCAAUGUGUUUGAUGAAUCCUCAAACACUAUCCUGAGUUGAUUUUAUCAUUUUUGUUUGCUAGAUUAAGGAGUUGUUAUAAAUUUACCUCUUUUUGUUGUUGUUGUUUCUACAGGAUUUGUGUGUUGGGCUUCUUAGACGCGCUACAUAUACAACUUAAAGGCUUUGAUCAUUAAGUGAGUAUUUUCUUUUGACCUUCUUGUUAAAUCGAUUCAUGACCAAGUUAAUUAUGAUUUUGUGAAUUUCUGAAUCCAUCUGAAUAGUUCCUAAUACGGUUUAGGGUUUAGGUGAUGAUUCAUGAAUGACUCAUAGUUUAUUUAUUGGUAUAAUGAUGAAGUGCAAAUUUUGUUUGUCAUACUAAGUUAAUUGUUGCUGAAGGAGGAAAGUAGGAAACAACUCUCUGUCACAGGGUUAAGCUUAUUCAGAAAAAUAUCCCAGUUAUGCUUAGGACUCUUGGUCAGAUGGCUAUUGCUAAUCCAAUAUUUACUCAUGGUCAGCUACCUCUAUGGGUGAAAUAUGUUGACCCAUUACUACACUCAUCAAUUGUUAGAGAUGCAGCAUUUGAACAGUAGAUAAAUUCAUCUGUACACUUGAAUGGAUUAUCAUUAUGGAGGGUCACUCAAGGCACACUUGGAUUAGGAAAUUCAGUAGAGAUUUUUAUAUCAAUUUUGAUUCAUUGUAGGAUGAAUCCAAGUUAAUUUUAGGUUUGGGUUAAUCUUAAUUGUCCUUUAAUCUUAUUUGAGCCUUUUUCUCAUGAUUUGGUUUGAUUUUGAUAUUAUUAAAUUACCUUUUUGUCUUAUGAGUAUAAGUUUCACUAUGAGUUGAGCUAGAUUACUUUUGUUAUUUUGGUGAAGUUUCAUUGUGGUUGAGCUAUAUUGCUGUUACUAUAUUCACAUCCAAUGGCUUGAAUUGGGAUCUUGUUUGUAUAUCCACCCUGUUUGUGAUUAAAUUUCAAAUGGCAUGCAUUGUCUACAGGAAGAGAAUUGAACCAUAUUGGGAAAAUGCUUUUGAUUUAUUUUUCUCUUUUAGCUUUUUGAUAUUGUGAAAACAGGAUGUGAAUCACAUAUCCUUUUUAGACUUGAACAUCUUGAUAUCAGUGAUAUAUGAUCUUAUACACACAAAAAAACUACUUCUGUUUAUCUGAUUUAGUUUGUAUUGUCAAGGUACUCUGGUAUGCUUGAAAAGGAGGUAAAGAUUGCUUGUCUUGUCUGUUGCGACUGUUGUGAUUGCAAAGCAUGUUCUAGAAGUCCAGCUGAAGAUGGUUAUAAGGAUCUUGAAAUUGUUCAGGAGCGUAGGAAGACUGAGCAUGCCGAUAGUGAUGAGAUUUGUCUUGUCGAUGUGACAACUGUCUACCCUGUUAGUCAUGGACAAUUGGAUUGUCCGACUUGUUCUCCUCUUGGAGCUAAAGAAGAUUGGCAUAAGGAACUGGCAAAUGGUCAAAACAAGUUUAAUAAUAAGGAGCACACAUAUAGCUUGAUAUCUGAAUUGCUUCCCUUGCUGAAACAUAUCUAUCAAAACCAAUUAAAUGAGUUGGAAGUAAAGCAAGGGGAUCAAGGUAAGCUUCAAAACAAUUGCCUAGUUUCUUCCUCCAGUUAGAUAUCCUCUUGAUCGAUCUAUCAUCUAGAAGGUGGAUUUUCUAGUGUACUUCUUCGAGUAUAUGAGCCUCACAAUGAGCUUGUUAACUGGUAUGUCUUCACAUCUAUAACACCUCUGAGAAUUUCGUAAUUUGCUAUGUUUAUGAAAUCAUGGACAUAAUAACUAAAUAAUGUGUCCUGACCCUGUUUCUUAGAUGGUCAUUUGUAAACUUGUGCCUCUAUUUUGCUUUAGCAAGUUCUAAUUUUUAGGUCAUAUUCUGUUCUUUGUUAUCGUCUCAUCAUGCAUUAAAAUGUUCACUUGAUUGAUAUUGUUUUCUUUUCUUGUUUUCCCCUUGGAACUAGUAAUUAUUGCAGGACUUCACUAGUGGUUUUUCACAGAAGCUGCUCAAAUUGCUCUUACAAACUUUGCUUAGAUUGUUACGGAAAGAUAGUAAAGGGAACUACUUCUCAUACACCUGCAAUUGAUUCCUCCAAGGCUGGUAGGAGACAGAGGGCAAAGAAGUAUGUCAUCAGAAAAAUUGUUGGGAAAAGAUGGAGACGUUCCACAAGCGAGUGACCAGAUAACUCAUCUUUAUCCACCGUUGAGUCUGAUAGCAAGGCUAAGAAUCAUGGAAGCAACAUUCCUUGCCCACCCAAGGAAUCUGGAGUUUACAAAUCUUAAGUACUCCAGAGUUGAAAUUGAUGAAGUGCGGUUCGAGUGGGCUGAAUG